AUUGAACGCUGGCGGCAGGCUUAACACAUGCAAGUCGAACGAUGAUUAUCUAGCUUGCUAGAUAUGAUUAGUGGCGGACGGGUGAGUAACAUUUAGGAAUCUGCCUAGUAGUGGGGGAUAGCUCGGGGAAACUCGAAUUAAUACCGCAUACGACCUACGGGUGAAAGGGGGCGCAAGCUCUUGCUAUUAGAUGAGCCUAAAUCAGAUUAGCUAGUUGGUGGGGUAAAGGCCCACCAAGGCGACGAUCUGUAACUGGUCUGAGAGGAUGAUCAGUCACACCGGAACUGAGACACGGUCCGGACUCCUACGGGAGGCAGCAGUGGGGAAUAUUGGACAAUGGGGGCAACCCUGAUCCAGCCAUGCCGCGUGUGUGAAGAAGGCCUUUUGGUUGUAAAGCACUUUAAGCAGGGAGGAGAGGCUAAUGGUUAAUACCCAUUAGAUUAGACGUUACCUGCAGAAUAAGCACCGGCUAACUCUGUGCCAGCAGCCGCGGUAAUACAGAGGGUGCGAGCGUUAAUCGGAAUUACUGGGCGUAAAGCGAGUGUAGGUGGCUCAUUAAGUCACAUGUGAAAUCCCCGGGCUUAACCUGGGAACUGCAUGUGAUACUGGUGGUGCUAGAAUAUGUGAGAGGGAAGUAGAAUUCCAGGUGUAGCGGUGAAGUGCGUAGAGAUCUGGAGGAAUACCGAUGGCGAAGGCAGCUUCCUGGCAUAAUAUUGACACUGAGAUUCGAAAGCGUGGGUAGCAAACAGGAUUAGAUACCCUGGUAGUCCACGCCGUAAACGAUGUCUACUAGCCGUUGGGGUCCUUGAGACUUUAGUGGCGCAGUUAACGCGAUAAGUAGACCGCCUGGGGAGUACGGCCGCAAGGUUAAAACUCAAAUGAAUUGACGGGGGCCCGCACAAGCGGUGGAGCAUGUGGUUUAAUUCGAUGCAACGCGAAGAACCUUACCUGGUCUUGACAUAGUGAGAAUCCUGCAGAGAUGCGGGAGUGCCUUCGGGAAUUCACAUACAGGUGCUGCAUGGCUGUCGUCAGCUCGUGUCGUGAGAUGUUGGGUUAAGUCCCGCAACGAGCGCAACCCUUUUCCUUAUUUGCCAGCGGGUUAAGCCGGGAACUUUAAGGAUACUGCCAGUGACAAACUGGAGGAAGGCGGGGACGACGUCAAGUCAUCAUGGCCCUUACGACCAGGGCUACACACGUGCUACAAUGGUAGGUACAGAGGGUUGCUACACAGCGAUGUGAUGCUAAUCUCAAAAAGCCUAUCGUAGUCCGGAUUGGGGUCUGCAACUCGACUCCAUGAAGUCGGAAUCGCUAGUAAUCGCAGAUCAGAAUGCUGCGGUGAAUACGUUCCCGGGCCU
RNAcentral lists this ribosomal RNA (1355 nucleotides) under uncultured bacterium. Its description in RNAcentral is "bacterial SSU rRNA". It matches the Rfam family "Bacterial small subunit ribosomal RNA", at positions 28 to 1381 of the family's 1533-position model. The record is from RNAcentral.